UGCAGUGGGAGUAGGCGAUCAGUCCUUUCCAUUUCCGCUUUCCCCCGUCUUUCGACCGUUGGCUCUUGAUAGCUGCUUCUCUAGGUCAAGUAGUGGGCGAUCGCCGAUCGAGCGAGAGGGAGGGAGAGAGAGAGGAGCGAUGGUGAGUACCCGACGCAUGGCGCUGACUGUAGCGGCGCCGGUGAGUUCCGUGAAAGAGGAGAUGGAUAGGCGGCGGCGCAGCCCCUCACCUUCUCUCCGUCAGGCGGCGAUUCCGACGGCGGGAGCCGCCAGUCCGGCGGACUACGAGAGGUUGCGGGGAGAAAGGAUCAAGGAGAACAUGGAGAGGUUGCGAAGUUUCGGCAUACUCGACCUGUCCCUCCAACUCAAAUCUCAUAUCACGCCGGGUCCCUCCCACCAACGUCGGAGGAAGAGGGAAGACGUUGCCUCCAACACUGGCAGGAAGAAACUGCUACUUUCAUCGACGCUGAAAAGGCGCUCCUCAAGGUUGCAAAAUGUAGCCCCAGUUAGCUAUGUGGAAAUUAAUCCGAGCAAAGAGGUGAAUUCUAAGAAGAAUCGCUCGAUCUCAAUUGAAGUAGGUGCAAAGGAAGAGGUUUAUACAGAUGAGCAUGAGAAGUUACUAGGCACAUAUGAGACUGGUUGGACACUGUUUGUGGAUGGAUUUGGUACAGAUGGAAAACGCAUAUAUGACUCUGUAAUAGGGAAAACGUGCCACCAGUGCAGGCAAAAAACUCUUGGUCACCGUACACACUGUAGUGAGUGUCAGCUAAUUCAAGGGCAAUUCUGUGGAGAUUGUUUGUUUAUGAGAUAUGGUGAAAAUGUUCUGGAAGCCAAAAAGAAUCAUAAUUGGAUAUGUCCAGUAUGUCGAGGCAUCUGCAAUUGUAGUUUGUGUAGAACCAAGAAAGGGUGGGCCCCCACUGGCACCCUAUAUAAAAAGGUUGUUAAUUUGGGAUAUAAGUCCGUAGCACAUUAUCUUAUUCAGACACGACGCCAACAGCCAAGUUCUGGUGAUCUAAAUUCGUCCGACUUACCUUCUGCAGAAGAGUCAUCCUGCAUUGAUAAUGGCGAGGUUUUACCCGAUGGCACUAAUGACAAUCUGAAUGAAAAGAAGUGCAAGAUAGAAAAUGGUAAGAUUGUUAACGAAAACGACUCUUCUACUGAAGCUGGUGUAAUUAGCUCACCUGAGAACGAUGCCCCAAAUGCUGCAGUUAAGAGUGUGAAUGACUCACACAGAGAUGUAAAUCCAGUCACUGAUAGCAUUGGCACUAAUGACGAUCUGAAUGAAAAGAAGAGCAAGAUAGAAAAUGGUAAGAUUGCUAACGAAAACAAGUCUUCUACUGAAGCUGGUGUAAUUAGCUCACCUGAGAACGAUGCUGCAAAUGCCAUGGUUAAGAGAGUAAACGACUCACACAAACAUGUAAAUCAAGUCACUGAUAGCAUUGGCACUAACGACUAUCUGAAUGAAAAGAAGAGCAAGAUAGAAAAUGGUAAUAUUGCUAAUGAAACCGAGUCUUCUACUGAAGCUGGUGUAUUUAGCUCACCUGAGAACGAUGCCCCAAAUGCUGCGGUUAAGAGAGUAAAUGACUCACGCAAACAUCAAAAUCAAGUUACUGAUAGCAUUGCGAGCAGGUUAAGAAAGCGGAACAGAACUUGAACAUGAUUUUACCAGCUCUGAUAUUUUGCUGGCGUUGUUUCUCAAAUAGGACAUCAGGCCCUGUCGUGCGUACUCCACCAAGAUCUGCCAUGGAGAACAAGGUUAACACUGCUACUUUCCAGAAAGCAAAUCCUCCUCUAGUUGCCAUUGGAGAUCCACCACCACCACUACAGAUGCAUGGGUACCAACUAAUACAUCAUUAAUGCAAUCCAGUCCUUCAUGGGAUUACAGGAUCAGGAUGAGGCCAACAAAGGAACUCCAUACUACUUCAUGGCACCAUACUGCAUCAAGGUUUGCAAGAUUAAAUUAUUAGCAUCCGUGAGCCUCCUUUUUAGCUUUAGCUCAGUAUAGUGGACUCUAGACAAAAGUUGGGCGUCUUCUUUCUUCACAUAUCUGUUCUGGGGGAUUUUUAAAAUAGGCAUAAUAGAAGACUUGAAUAUUUUAUUAGAUCGUAGAUGCCGAAUUAAUUU
This is an RNA transcript of Zingiber officinale, 2124 nucleotides long. It is a transcript of the gene named C-module-binding factor A-like, with no coding region annotated. Lineage: Eukaryota; Viridiplantae; Streptophyta; Magnoliopsida; Zingiberales; Zingiberaceae. The transcript has 6 exons. The record is from RefSeq and is a predicted model, not a curated record.